GUUGUGGGGGCUGUUAUGGUGUCUAUUGAGUUUAGUUUUAACCUGCAAGGCCAGUAAGGAUGACGGAGUGACGGAGUAUCAGCGCCAUCUGCUGGAUAGAAUGUAAAACUGUCUUUAAAACUCCAGUCCUUUCAGUUUUCGGUGUGUCCGUCACUUCACCAUCCCGAGGGUCCAGGAGGGUCCAGACCCAGCAGCUCUGCCGCUGCUCUACAAGAGACUUUUACACUGUUAAAAUCUGCUGUUGUUAGACCGGAGUUCCGUUUCAUCGACGGCCUAAAAGUACUUUUCCGAUUAGUGUCAGUCAGUCAGACCAGAGCAGCGUCCAGUUCAUUUAUUCUGAUGAGGGUUGACCGCCCCUCUGACAACAUGACCACGCCCCCUGACGACGGCUGUGUCCCAGCCCGCCCUCUACCAAACCAAGUACUAUAUAAAAGAGCAGUCCGGAGAGGCCAUGAGCUGAACUAAAAUAUUCUAGAUUCUUAUUCCAGACCUUCCGGUUGCAAGACUGGUUUCCUGACCUUCAGCCCACGACUGCCCCGACGCUAGUGUGGAAGAGAGACUGCUUAGUGGCCCAAAGGACUUGGUGUGGAGAGCAGUGGCCUGCAGUAUUCUACACACUGCUGGAGGAUUGGGACUGGACAGGGCCUUGUUUUUAAUGGACACUAAGGUGCUGGACAUUGUCGGCUUGCCGAUGUUUUAUUGUGGACUUUUUAGAGUUUUGUCCCUCUUUAGCAUGUCCAGGAUUGGCGACACCUACCUGGCUUCUGGAGGAACCUCUGGUCUAUGGGGCUCGACUGGACAUCACCAGAAAGACCUCUGCUGCGCUGGCCAGGGUUCUGAUCUCCUCCAGUAUCCAGACACUUCGUCAGGUGGUUGGGGUUGCAGGACCCGGGUUGGACGGCGUGGAGAACCUGGCGGUGCGAUUGGGUGUGAGGUGCUUAGCCCUAAUGAAGAGGAUCCUUUCCCCGGAGUCUUCAUCACCCCUGACCUACAGGACUGUCAGGGCCCCCUCCUGGACUGUGAGGAGGACCGGGGUCUGGACCUGUCCUCAGUUUCCGGAAAAAUGCUGUACAGGACGUGUGUGAAAUGUUUUAAUAAGAAAAAUCUCAUGAGCAGAGCUGAUACGCCGUGGCGCCAUGCUCUAGGCCUCAGCCCCUCAGUGCUUUUGUUUUGAUGCGUUGUUUUAGGCUACGUCCCCUUUUUACUCUGCUGAGUUCUGAUCUUUACACCCCACACUUUUAUUCUUGGUUGUAGAGAGAGAGGUUCAAGUGUCAGCUGCUGAAUUUUGUUCUCGGGCAGGCUAAGCUGGCGGUGUACAUCACCCGUAAAAACCAAGUGGGGCGAGCAGCUGACACUGACGUCACCAGAACCCUCUCUAGACGGGUCAGAUCAAGAGUUUUAAUUGAUUUUAAUUAUUCCAAAUGUAUGAGUGAUCUGGAGACCUUUAUGUCUGCGUGGUGCUGCGGGGAGGCUGUGUGCUCAGUCUGAGAAGACCAGCUCUGCUUUGCACCGUGUUUUAUAUGAAGCUUUUAAAGGUUCCACUCAUUUAUUGGCUUA
Long non-coding RNA from Pygocentrus nattereri (red-bellied piranha), 1557 nucleotides. RefSeq lists it as uncharacterized. Lineage: Eukaryota; Metazoa; Chordata; Actinopteri; Characiformes; Serrasalmidae. The record is from RefSeq and is a predicted model, not a curated record. The transcript is spliced from 2 exons.